Molecule: ribosomal RNA, 877 nt
Filed under: Micrococcus sp.
Lineage: Bacteria; Bacillati; Actinomycetota; Actinomycetes; Micrococcales; Micrococcaceae
Description: bacterial SSU rRNA
Rfam family: Bacterial small subunit ribosomal RNA
Source: RNAcentral
GUGGGGGGGGGGUGGCUUACCAUGCAGUCGACGAUGAAGCCCAGCUUGCUGGGUGGAUUAGUGGCGAACGGGUGAGUAACACGUGAGUAACCUGCCCUUAACUCUGGGAUAAGCCUGGGAAACUGGGUCUAAUACCGGAUAGGAGCGCCUACCGCAUGGUGGGUGUUGGAAAGAUUUAUCGGUUUUGGAUGGACUCGCGGCCUAUCAGCUUGUUGGUGAGGUAAUGGCUCACCAAGGCGACGACGGGUAGCCGGCCUGAGAGGGUGACCGGCCACACUGGGACUGAGACACGGCCCAGACUCCUACGGGAGGCAGCAGUGGGGAAUAUUGCACAAUGGGCGCAAGCCUGAUGCAGCGACGCCGCGUGAGGGAUGACGGCCUUCGGGUUGUAAACCUCUUUCAGUAGGGAAGAAGCGAAAGUGACGGUACCUGCAGAAGAAGCACCGGCUAACUACGUGCCAGCAGCCGCGGUAAUACGUAGGGUGCGAGCGUUAUCCGGAAUUAUUGGGCGUAAAGAGCUCGUAGGCGGUUUGUCGCGUCUGUCGUGAAAGUCCGGGGCUUAACCCCGGAUCUGCGGUGGGUACGGGCAGACUAGAGUGCAGUAGGGGAGACUGGAAUUCCUGGUGUAGCGGUGGAAUGCGCAGAUAUCAGGAGGAACACCGAUGGCGAAGGCAGGUCUCUGGGCUGUAACUGACGCUGAGGAGCGAAAGCAUGGGGAGCGAACAGGAUUAGAUACCCUGGUAGUCCAUGCCGUAAACGUUGGGCACUAGGUGUGGGGACCAUUCCACGGUUUCCGCGCCGCAGCUAACGCAUUAAGUGCCCCGCCUGGAGAGUACGGCCGCAAGGCUAAAACUCAAGGAGAAUUUGACGGGAAGAC